AUUGAACGCUGGCGGCAUGCCUUACACAUGCAAGUCGAACGGCAGCACGGGAGCUUGCUCCUGGUGGCGAGUGGCGAACGGGUGAGUAAUACAUCGGAACGUACCCUGAAGUGGGGGAUAACGUAGCGAAAGUUACGCUAAUACCGCACAUUCUGUGAGCAGGAAAGAGGGGGAUCGCAAGACCUCUUGCUUUAGGAGCGGCCGAUGUCGGAUUAGCUAGUUGGUGAGGUAAAGGCUCACCAAGGCGACGAUCCGUAGCGGGUCUGAGAGGAUGAUCCGCCACACUGGGACUGAGACACGGCCCAGACUCCUACGGGAGGCAGCAGUGGGGAAUUUUGGACAAUGGGCGCAAGCCUGAUCCAGCCAUGCCGCGCGAGUGAAGAAGGCCUCGGUU
This 394-nucleotide ribosomal RNA is filed under the name uncultured bacterium. Its description in RNAcentral is "bacterial SSU rRNA". It matches the Rfam family "Bacterial small subunit ribosomal RNA", at positions 30 to 424 of the family's 1533-position model. The record is from RNAcentral.